Molecule: unclassified non-coding RNA, 434 nt
Filed under: soil metagenome
Description: partial contains 5.8S ribosomal RNA, internal transcribed spacer 2, and large subunit ribosomal RNA
Rfam family: 5.8S ribosomal RNA (bases 1-120)
Source: RNAcentral
GAUGAAGAACGUAGCGAAAUGCGAUACGUAAUGUGAAUUGCAGAAUUCAGUGAAUCAUCGAAUCUUUGAACGCAUAUUGCGCUCUUUGGUAUUCCGAAGAGCAUGCUUGUUUGAGUAUCAGUAAACACCUCAAAGCUUUUGGAUUUUUUAAUCGAAAAGCUUUGGUCUUGAGCAAUCCCAACACCAAUCUUUUUGAGAUCGGUGGCGGGUUGCUUGAAAUGCAGGUGCAGCUGGACAUUCUCCUGAGCUAAAAGCAUAUUCAUUUAGUCCCGUCAAACGGAUUAUUACUUUUGCUGCAGCUAACAUAAAGGGAGUUUGACCGUAUUGGCUGACUGAUGCAGGAUUUCACAAGGGUCGGCAACGAUUCUUGUUAAACUCGAUCUCAAAUCAAGUAAGACUACCCGCUGAACUUAAGCAUAUCAAUAAGCGGAGGA